CGGGGAUGUGUGGAGUGGUGGUCAGCUCUAACGUGUCCCUUGCAGACUUUCACAGCUCCAUCAUUCGAUGACAAGAUUCUGGAGGUGGUCGCCGUGUUCGGCAGCAUGCAGAUGGCCGUCUCUCGAGUCAUCAGGCUGCAGCAUCAUCGGAUCGCCCAGUGUCGCACGGUGAAGAUCUCCAUCCUUGGGGAUGAGGGCGUGCCUGUGCAGGUGGACGGAGAGGCCUGGGUCCAGCCGCCAGGGUACAUUCGGAUUGUCCACAAGAACCGG
This 270-nucleotide small RNA is filed under the name Pan troglodytes (chimpanzee). RNAcentral describes it as "retained intron". Lineage: Eukaryota; Metazoa; Chordata; Mammalia; Primates; Hominidae. The record is from RNAcentral.